UACAGAGGGUGCGAGCGUUAAUCGGAAUUACUGGGCGUAAAGGGUGCGUAGGUGGUUUAGUAAGUUAGAUGUGAAAUUCCUGGGCUUAACCUGGGGACUGCGUCUGAUACUGCUAGGCUAGAGUACUGUAGAGGGAAGUGGAAUUUCCGGUGUAGCAGUGAAAUGCGUAGAUAUCGGAAGGAACAUCAGUGGCGAAGGCGACUUCCUGGACAGAUACUGACACUGAGGCACGAAAGCGUGGGGAGCAAACAGG
This 253-nucleotide ribosomal RNA is filed under the name uncultured bacterium. RNAcentral describes it as "partial 16S ribosomal RNA". It matches the Rfam family "Bacterial small subunit ribosomal RNA", at positions 524 to 776 of the family's 1533-position model. The record is from RNAcentral.